UACGUAGGUGACAAGCGUUGUCCGGAUUUACUGGGCGUAAAGAGCGCGCAGGCGGUCGUGCAAGUCGAGUGUGAAAGCCCCCGGCUCAACUGGGGAGGGUCACUCGAUACUGUUCGACUCGAAGGCAGGAGAGGGAAGCGGAAUUCCCGGUGUAGUGGUGAAAUGCGUAGAUAUCGGGAGGAACACCAGUGGCGAAGGCGGCUUCCUGGCCUGUUCUUGACGCUGAGGCGCGAAAGCUAGGGGAGCAAACGGG
Molecule: ribosomal RNA, 253 nt
Filed under: uncultured bacterium
Lineage: Bacteria
Description: partial 16S ribosomal RNA
Rfam family: Bacterial small subunit ribosomal RNA
Source: RNAcentral